AUGGCAAAGAGUGUAUGGGCGCUCCACGAGGAUGCCAAGCUAUGGCUAUUUGGCUUGAGCAAAACGCUGGAUAGUGCUAUGUUUGUGGAGGUCUUGGUGACCCUUUGGACGAUAGGGUGGGCUCGACGUCGAGCAAUUCAUGAGGGGGAAUUUCAGAGCCCUUGGUCCAGCUACUUGUUCAUUAGACAAUACCUUGAGGAGGUCGAGUACUGUAGCAGAACGACACCACCUGCUCGGCCUACCACUAGGACGAGGAGGGAACUGGAAAAGUGGGUUCGGCCUGGGCCAGGCAUGGUGAAACUUAAUGCUGGCGAAGCUGUGGCCAAAAAACCAAACAAAGGGACAGUCGAAAUUGUCCGCGGGAGUGAAGAUGGACAUUUCCUGGGUGCUUCGGCUGUUGUGUUACCUGGGGUGAUGGAUCUGGCGACCCUAAAAGCUGAUGCAUGCAGGGAGACCAUGACCUUAGUUGAGGAUCUGCAUUUUUCAAGCAGCGUGCAUGUAACAGAGAACCCCAUGGCUAGGAUGGCAACUAGUCUAUAG
This 540-nucleotide ribosomal RNA is filed under the name Triticum aestivum (bread wheat). Its description in RNAcentral is "partial small subunit ribosomal RNA". Lineage: Eukaryota; Viridiplantae; Streptophyta; Magnoliopsida; Poales; Poaceae. The record is from RNAcentral.